UCCAAAACCAGAGCUCUAUCCACUGCGCCACCUAGCUGCCCCACUCUAAGAUCUUUUCAAUGCCACUUUCUCCAGGCAGAGAGGAUUAGAAGGACACAGAAAUCUCCUUGCUGACUAGAGAUAAUCACCAAGAUCCCUUUUGGUCCCGUGAGUCUGUGAUCCAGAGCAGAAAUAGCUGUUAAAUAGAGCCUGGACACAGUUUGUGGAUUCUCUCUCCUUUGGAAGAACUGGUCUGACUUCAGCGACAGUAAGGCUGGUCAAUGCAGACAUUUUAUUUAUGAAGAGAAGACCAUAGAAAAACAAGGAAGACCACUCAAGUCAGGACUUCCUCCCACCAGUGAGAUGUAGUAUAAUCUUCAAGCAGUAUCUCUCUCUCUGCUGGCCUCAUGAUUUUCCGCUUGGCCCCUAGUUAGGCACACUGUGCUUGGCCCUUAUUAGAGGCAGUCGAAUUGCCCUUUUCCCAGGGCUCUGACUUAGGAAAGUGAAGGCCUUUUUCAGCUAAGGCCUCUUUCCCAGAAUGGGCUUGGAACUGAGAACUGAUGAUUAAAACGAACAUUUGUGAAAGAAAACAGCUCUGUGCAGGAAUCUCUUUGCCUGCCUUUAAAGGUUAACACAAACUCUAGAACAAUGUGGGAAGACCUACAAUCAGAAGGGAAAAUUAGUGACAAAACCUGAAGGAAUGUUACAUAACUCUCUCCAGUGGACCAGUACUUAAACGGUCAACAUUUCUCCCUCCCUCUCCCUGAAAAAAACCCAAGAGCCCUUGAAACUCACCCUCAACCUGUCUAUUGUACCUAGAGCAUUUUAUUUUAUUCCCACAUAUUAUGUUUAAGAUGACAGAUUUAGAGCAGGAAAGGGCUUCUGAGGUGAUUUAAUACAACCCCUUAAUUUUACAGAUGAGAAAAGUAAGAAUUUGAAUCCAGAUUCUCUGGAUUCCAAAUUUUAUAUUCUUUCCACUGUCCCAUACUAAUUGUUCACAACCAACUGGCAUGAUAAAAGCUUUAGAGCUGGAAGGGAGCUUUGGAAGUCACUUAGUCCAACCUUCUCUUUUUACAGAUGAGGAAAUUGAGGCCCAGCGGGGAAAAAGGGAGGUGGCAUAGUAGAUAGACUGCUGGCCUUGGAGUCAACACUGACUGCAUUCAAACCCUUCCACAGACAGGCUAUAGCUGUGCGACCCUGGGCAACUCACUUGCCUCAGUUUGCUUCAGUUUCCUCAUCUGUAAAAUGGAGACAACAACA
This is a non-coding RNA of Phascolarctos cinereus (koala), 1239 nucleotides long. Lineage: Eukaryota; Metazoa; Chordata; Mammalia; Diprotodontia; Phascolarctidae. The record is from RefSeq and is a predicted model, not a curated record.